AAACGGUGUGAAAUAAAUCUUUUAGAACUUUUACAUAUUUCAACAUAGUUAUGGCAACCAAGAAGUUUCUAUCUCUUAUAUACUUGAUGGUGUUGGUUCAAAUCUUUCUACCAAUGAUUUCAGGACAAACCAAAGAAUGUUUUCUGCAACAACCAUGUGAAAACUCACCGACAUGCAAUGAGUUUUGUAAAUUUAAAGGAUACAUACAAGGAGGAUAUUGUCAACACUAUCUUGGCCCAAAUCACAACAAUUGUUGCUGCUACCUUGUUGAUUCAGAAAAGGUUUUCAAAUUCGAUCAUACCAAUGUACUCAUUACAAAUUAGUUCAUCAUCGUAGUCAGUGCCAGUCCGGACUCAUAUAACCCCUAUA
Molecule: long non-coding RNA, 369 nt
Organism: Brassica oleracea var. oleracea
Lineage: Eukaryota; Viridiplantae; Streptophyta; Magnoliopsida; Brassicales; Brassicaceae
Exons: 3
Source: RefSeq, a predicted model, not a curated record